Molecule: non-coding RNA, 29 nt
Filed under: Homo sapiens (human)
Lineage: Eukaryota; Metazoa; Chordata; Mammalia; Primates; Hominidae
Source: RNAcentral
AACNGCAUGAAGCCAAUUAAAUGUGUUUU